ACGAACGCUGGCGGCGCGCUUAACACAUGCAAGUCGAACGGAAAGGCCUGCUUUCCCUUGUGGAUUGCGGGUACUCGAGUGGCGAACGGGUGAGUAACACGUGAGUGAUCUGCCCCCAACUUGGGUAUAAGCCUGGGAAACUGGGUCUAAUUCCCGAUAGGACUGCAGGGUGGUGCCUGUGGUGGAAAACGAUUUUCUAGUGGUUGGGGAUGAGCUCGCGGCCUAUCAGCUUGUUGGUGGGGUAAUGGCCUACCAAGGCGGCGACGGGUAGCCGGCCUGAGAGGGUGGACGGCCACAUUGGGACUGAGAUACGGCCCAGACUCCUACGGGAGGCAGCAGUGGGGAAUAUUGCACAAUGGGCGGAAGCCUGAUGCAGCGACGCCGCGUGGGGGAUGACGGCCUUCGGGUUGUAAACUCCUUCCGACCGCGAGGAAGCCACCUGGUUGGAAGGGUGGUGACGGUAGUGGUAGAAGAAGCACCGGCUAACUACGUG
This 493-nucleotide ribosomal RNA is filed under the name uncultured bacterium. Its description in RNAcentral is "partial 16S ribosomal RNA". It matches the Rfam family "Bacterial small subunit ribosomal RNA", at positions 29 to 507 of the family's 1533-position model. The record is from RNAcentral.